AGUUUGAUCCUCUAGUUCUGACUCCAGGACCACGCAGCACCCUCCAGGGUCGUUCACCAACCUUGGUCAGGUAACCCUGAACAUAGCCAGGUACUUCAACAUCUGCUGCCCGUGCAACUUCCUGCUGUAUAAGGGAUGGUCUAACCAGCACCUCCUGAUCAGGGGCUGCAGAUGCCACCGCGUACUUCUUCCUGCGCUUGGGUUUCACCGUGCCACGGAUAUUCGCAGGCUUGCUGCGCUUGGAGCGUAGAGUAAUGUACACCACGUUGGGCUGCAAGGUGCUUCCAUUGCCCUGCGACUCGGGAGGGGCCAGGGUACCAUCCAGGGGGAUCUCCGGGAAGGGUACCUUGAAGAUGUCGUGGCCGUCGGGUGAUCCCCUGUCAGUCGCCUGCCCAUGCUGAAAGGAACCUCUGCCCACCUGGCUCACCAGAAAGCCCAGGUAGAUGGCACAGGCAGUGCCCAGCAGGAGGUUCCGUCUGGUCCUGGGACGCCGACUACUCCAAAGUUUACACACUCGUGGGGCGCACAGGGAGCAGACAAACCAGUUUAUGAGCUGCCCCGGCUUGUCUGGACAGGUCAUUUCUCUGCCGCUUCCACAUGCUGAACUGAGUUUAAAGUCUGCAGCUGGCUCCGGGUGACAUGAUUCAUGGCUUCCUGAAUCCAGCCGUCCAGUCCGUCUCGCUAUCUAAGUGGUCUCCAACAGGCAGAGCAUUGUAUGUCUGAAUGGGUGUAGAAAACAGGAGCUCUCUAAACCUACACCUGUGGUAUAUUUAUCACUCACAGAUAUCAAAGGGAAACAAGAGAUCAAGAAGUCUGUUUGUUUCCUAAUGAGACAGAAGUUCUGGAUUUGGGUGAGAAGGGAAGCAGGGAGGAGCUGAGAACAGCAGAGGGAGGAAAAACCAUAAUCUGGACAUAUACUAUGAGGAAAAGAUCUAUUUCCAAUAAAAAGGGAAUAAAAUUUAAAUAGCUGAG
This 972-nucleotide long non-coding RNA is filed under the name Mus pahari (shrew mouse). RNAcentral describes it as "lncRNA (MGP_PahariEiJ_G0003465.1)". Lineage: Eukaryota; Metazoa; Chordata; Mammalia; Rodentia; Muridae. The record is from RNAcentral.